Long non-coding RNA from Cynoglossus semilaevis (tongue sole), 1554 nucleotides. RefSeq lists it as uncharacterized. NCBI's taxonomy places the organism in Eukaryota, Metazoa, Chordata, Actinopteri, Pleuronectiformes, Cynoglossidae. The record is from RefSeq and is a predicted model, not a curated record. The transcript is spliced from 2 exons.
CUUAGAGCGGCCCUUAGAGUAAAAGCAAUGGAGCUGCAGACAAAAGAUGUCAGUUCCCAAAACUAAAAUGUCCUUGGUGUUGUCACAGAUAGACACAAACAAUGUGUUGCUGCUUCGUUUCUUGGCCAUUUAUGUAACAUUUGCACACAUUUGAUGUGAGCAGUAGUUUCAGCACAAUUCACUAUAAGAGUUGCAGGAAUUUUCUUUCAGCUCCACUGACUAUAGUGUGCAGUGACUGUGUAUCUACCGAUUAACAAACUACUGAGCAUGCGCUGUCACCUGGUGGAUUGUAGCUGCCGCUUGUGAUUGGAUAACGAAAAGCGGAAGGAAGUGGUAAUACUUCAUGGCCGGGUGACGUUUGCAAAAUGGCGCUGUGUGAAGGCACAGAGAAAAUGGUUUGCUAUUACUACGACGGUACGUAGUUCUAUCUCUGGUUCUCUUCACUUUGGCGAUUAACGCGUCAUGUGAAGGACCAGUAUUCCACAGAGCGUGCGGAAGAUUUGUUUGAAACCGUGAUCACGCUGAACUGCCGAGUGGGGCAGCCGGUUAGCAUGCUAAAUGCUAAACAAUAGCCUCUGCCGCACGGUUUACACAUUCAAACUAGUUCUGACUGCUUCAGUCAGCGUGUGAUUCAAUUGUACGAGAUACCGCUUUGUUAUUAGGUCUUUUAAAUAUCUGCACGAAGACCAUUUGGUUUGAAUGAUCCAAAUAUUUUGGGCGUUGCGACUUCAGCCAAGUGUUAGUGAAGCAGCAACUUGUUCUGUGGUGAACGUUUCCUUCAAAGCGGUGCUUGCACUUUGUAGUGCAUUGAAACGUUGAGACAUCUAUGAAGAGCAGGGCACAUUAUUGUCGAGGGUAAGUAUUUAUGUUUUCAUUAUUUGUGUGUCCGUGCACGUAUGGUGUAGCAGAAGACCGGUGGACUCUACGACGCCAAGAAGUUCGAUGCAUCUGGUUUCUGUUACGUGAACGACAUCGUCCUGGCCAUUUUUGAGCUGCUCCAGUAAGAGAAGCUUGUCAAGUUUUGUCACCGGAAAUGACACUUUUUGACAGCAUUUACAGUGUGAAAUGUUUACAGUAUGUCGGGGCUGGACUGAACAAAUACACAUAGUGAAUUACCGACGAAGCCAUCUUUAAACCGGUAAGUAUGUUAUACUGCGAGUGCGAUUUAGCUUUGUUUUUUCCAACUUAUCAGUGUUUUUUUUUAUUUUUAAAUGUAUGCAUCUUGGGUUUAGAUCAUGGCCAAAGUAAUGGAGAUGAGUUCAGUGUUCCUUCAGUGUGCAGCCAGACUGGGCUGCUUCAACCUCACUAUUAUAGGCCUAAAGAGGUUUAACCAAGUUCCACUCCUGAUGAUGGGGUCUUUGUUGAAUCCUGUGAACACAUGUGGUUGACAGUAGUUGUGAGUAUGUGAUCUGUCCAUCUUUACCUGAAGUGUUAAAGUAAAGCUAAGAGUUACUGUUGUAAUUUGACUUGUAUCGUUUUGAAAUGUGUAUUUAUAGACUAGAAUGCAUGUUUUGGAAAUGUGAAGCGUUUUGCUAAUAAAAUGGUAAAAAGUUA